UACAGAGGUCUCAAGCGUUGUUCGGAUUCAUUGGGCGUAAAGGGUGCGUAGGCGGCGCGGUAAGUUGGGUGUGAAAUUUCGAGGCUUAACUUCGAAACUGCAUUCGAUACUGCCGUGCUUGAGGACUGGAGAGGAGACUGGAAUUUACGGUGUAGCGGUGAAAUGCGUAGAUAUCGUAAGGAAGACCAGUGGCGAAGGCGGGUCUCUGGACAGUUCCUGACGCUGAGGCACGAAGGCCAGGGGAGCAAACGGG
RNAcentral lists this ribosomal RNA (253 nucleotides) under uncultured bacterium. RNAcentral describes it as "partial 16S ribosomal RNA". It matches the Rfam family "Bacterial small subunit ribosomal RNA", at positions 524 to 776 of the family's 1533-position model. The record is from RNAcentral.